Long non-coding RNA from Bombina bombina (fire-bellied toad), 150 nucleotides. RefSeq lists it as uncharacterized. The record is from RefSeq and is a predicted model, not a curated record. The transcript has 3 exons. Lineage: Eukaryota; Metazoa; Chordata; Amphibia; Anura; Bombinatoridae.
GGGAAGAAACUACCAGUGUCAGGGGAUUACUACAAACAAUGCAGGAUUCGUCAAUUACAUUAUUUGAUGAUGAAAUAGAAAUCACAUUACAACCACUUGUGACUGACACAGUUUGUCAGGAGGAUGAUGAUGAUGAGACACAAAUAGAGG